UACGGAGGGAGCUAGCGUUGUUCGGAAUUACUGGGCGUAAAGCGCACGUAGGCGGCUAUUCAAGUCGGGGGUGAAAGCCCGGGGCUCAACCCCGGAACAGCCCUCGAAACUAGAUAGCUAGAAUCAUGGAGAGGUUAGUGGAAUUCCGAGUGUAGAGGUGAAAUUCGUAGAUAUUCGGAAGAACACCAGUGGCGAAGGCGACUAACUGGACAUGUAUUGACGCUGAGGUACGAAAGCGUGGGGAGCAAACAGG
This 253-nucleotide ribosomal RNA is filed under the name uncultured bacterium. RNAcentral's name for it is "partial 16S ribosomal RNA". It matches the Rfam family "Bacterial small subunit ribosomal RNA", at positions 524 to 776 of the family's 1533-position model. The record is from RNAcentral.